CAGCAGCCGCGGGAAUACGAAGGGGGCUAGCGUUGUUCGGAAUUACUGGGCGUAAAGGGCGCGUAGGCGGCCAUUCAAGUUAGAUGUGAAAGCCCUUGGCUCAACCUAGGAAUUGCAUUUGAUACUGUUUGGCUUGAGUUCGGGAGAGGUGAGUGGAAUUCCCAGUGUAGAGGUGAAAUUCGUAGAUAUUGGGAAGAACACCAGUGGCGAAGGCGGCUCACUGGACCGACACUGACGCUGAGGCGCGAAAGCGUGGGGAGCAAACAGGAUUAGAUACCCCUGUAGUCCCUGUCUCUUAUAC
This 301-nucleotide ribosomal RNA is filed under the name uncultured bacterium. Its description in RNAcentral is "partial 16S ribosomal RNA". It matches the Rfam family "Bacterial small subunit ribosomal RNA", at positions 509 to 807 of the family's 1533-position model. The record is from RNAcentral.